GUACUAAUGAAGAGUCUCAAACUAGGACGAAACAGCUUUCCAGUAC
This 46-nucleotide non-coding RNA is filed under the name Trichobilharzia regenti. The record is from RNAcentral. Lineage: Eukaryota; Metazoa; Platyhelminthes; Trematoda; Strigeidida; Schistosomatidae.